This 253-nucleotide ribosomal RNA is filed under the name uncultured bacterium. RNAcentral's name for it is "partial 16S ribosomal RNA". It matches the Rfam family "Bacterial small subunit ribosomal RNA", at positions 524 to 776 of the family's 1533-position model. The record is from RNAcentral.
UACGAAGGGGGCUAGCGUUGCUCGGAAUGACUGGGCGUAAAGGGCGCGUAGGCGGAUGGCACAGUCAGAUGUGAAAUUCCUGGGCUUAACCUGGGGGCUGCAUUUGAUACGUGUGAUCUAGAGUGAGGAAGAGGGUUGUGGAAUUCCCAGUGUAGAGGUGAAAUUCGUAGAUAUUGGGAAGAACACCGGUGGCGAAGGCGGCUCACUGGCUCAUUACUGACGCUCAGGCGCGAUAGCGUGGGGAUCAAACAGG